UACGUAGGUGGCAAGCGUUGUCCGGAAUUAUUGGGCGUAAAGCGCGCGCAGGCGGUCCUUUAAGUCUGAUGUGAAAGCCCACGGCUCAACCGUGGAGGGUCAUUGGAAACUGGGGGACUUGAGUGCAGAAGAGGAAAGUGGAAUUCCACGUGUAGCGGUGAAAUGCGUAGAGAUGUGGAGGAACACCAGUGGCGAAGGCGACUUUCUGGUCUGUAACUGACGCUGAGGCGCGAAAGCGUGGGGAGCAAACAGGAUUAGAAACCCCUGUAGUCC
Molecule: ribosomal RNA, 273 nt
Filed under: uncultured bacterium
Lineage: Bacteria
Description: partial 16S ribosomal RNA
Rfam family: Bacterial small subunit ribosomal RNA
Source: RNAcentral